RNAcentral lists this ribosomal RNA (588 nucleotides) under Eulimnogammarus verrucosus. RNAcentral describes it as "SSU rRNA". It matches the Rfam family "Eukaryotic small subunit ribosomal RNA", at positions 29 to 533 of the family's 1831-position model. Lineage: Eukaryota; Metazoa; Arthropoda; Malacostraca; Amphipoda; Eulimnogammaridae. The record is from RNAcentral.
UGCUUGUCUCAAAGAUUAAGCCAUGCAUGUCUAAGUCCAAGCUGUGUUCACACGGCGAGACCGCGGACGGCUCAUUAAAUCAGUCGUGGUCCAAAUGGGCCAGUGCAAAUCCUACUUGGAUAACUGUGGUAAUUCCAGAGCUAAUACAUGCAACUGAUAUCCCGAAGGCGGUGUUUGGGCUUGCUUGCCUUGCGCUGCGCUGCUCUGACGGAUGCUUUUAUUAGACCAAGCCGCUGAGGACUUGAGGGUUCGCGCUCUCUUGUCUGACUCGUGUGAUGGUGACUCUGGAUAACCAAAUUCUGACAAGCGCACGUACUUCUCUUCUGAGCGAGACGGCGCUGCCACUUUCGAGUGUCUGCCUUAUCAGCUAUCAACCGUUCGUUAUGCGCGACCGAUGGCUUUGACGGGUAACGGGGAAUCAGGGUUCGAUUCCGGAGAGGCAGCCUGAGAGACGGCUACCACGUCCAAGGACGGCAGCAGGCACGCAAAUUACCCAAUCCCAGCAAAUGGGGGAGGUAGUGACGAAAUCUAACGAUGCGGGCGCCCUUUCUGGGGCCCCGCAAUCGGAAUGGGCACUUUCUAAACAAC